AUGAACGCUGGCGGCGUGCCUAAUACAUGCAAGUCGAGCGAACAGAUGAGGAGCUUGCUCCUCUGACGUUAGCGGCGGACGGGUGAGUAACACGUGGAUAACCUACCUAUAAGACUGGGAUAACUUCGGGAAACCGGAGCUAAUACCGGAUAAUAUAUUGAACCGCAUGGUUCAAUAGUGAAAGACGGUUUUGCUGUCACUUAUAGAUGGAUCCGCGCCGCAUUAGCUAGUUGGUAAGGUAACGGCUUACCAAGGCAACGAUGCGUAGCCGACCUGAGAGGGUGAUCGGCCACACUGGAACUGAGACACGGUCCAGACUCCUACGGGGGGCAGCAGUAGGGAAUCUUCCGCAAUGGGCGAAAGCCUGACGGAGCAACGCCGCGUGAGUGAUGAAGGUCUUCGGAUCGUAAAACUCUGUUAUUAGGGAAGAACAAAUGUGUAAGUAACUAUGCACGUCUUGACGGUACCUAAUCAGAAAGCCACGGCUAACUACGUG
Molecule: ribosomal RNA, 496 nt
Filed under: uncultured bacterium
Lineage: Bacteria
Description: partial 16S ribosomal RNA
Rfam family: Bacterial small subunit ribosomal RNA
Source: RNAcentral